This 104-nucleotide small RNA is filed under the name Novosphingobium sp. AP12. Its description in RNAcentral is "Manganese Mn2+ riboswitch aptamer (yybP-ykoY)". It matches the Rfam family "Manganese Mn2+ riboswitch aptamer (yybP-ykoY)". From Rfam's summary of the family: This RNA was originally discovered in E. coli during a large scale screen and was named SraF. The record is from Rfam by way of RNAcentral. RNAcentral also lists the same sequence under 1 other name. Lineage: Bacteria; Pseudomonadati; Pseudomonadota; Alphaproteobacteria; Sphingomonadales; Sphingomonadaceae.
GCCCGGGUCAUCUGGGGAGUAGCCACCCGCCUCCAGCGGGACCUGCCGUCAACAUACUUGGCCGAGAGGCCAUGGCGCGCAGGAGGACGGUGCAAGGACCGUUC